RNAcentral lists this ribosomal RNA (253 nucleotides) under uncultured bacterium. RNAcentral describes it as "partial 16S ribosomal RNA". It matches the Rfam family "Bacterial small subunit ribosomal RNA", at positions 524 to 776 of the family's 1533-position model. The record is from RNAcentral.
UACGGAGGGUGCAAGCGUUGUCCGGAAUCACUGGGCGUAAAGGGCGCGUAGGCGGCUCAUGAAGGCUGUGGUGAAAGUCCGGGGCUCAACCUCGGAUCGGCCGUGGCGACUCGUGGGCUGGAGCACUGUAGAGGCGGGUGGAAUUCCGGGUGUAGCGGUGGAAUGCGUAGAGAUCCGGAAGAACACCAGUGGCGAAGGCGGCCCGCUGGGCAGUGGCUGACGCUGAGGCGCGAAAGCGUGGGGAGCGAACAGG